UGGGGAAUAUUGCACAAUGGGGGAAACCCUGAUGCAGCAACGCCGCGUGAGUGAUGACGGUCUUCGGAUUGUAAAGCUCUGUUUUCAGGGACGAUAAUGACGGUACCUGAGGAGGAAGCCACGGCUAACUACGUGCCAGCAGCCGCGGUAAUACGUAGGUGGCAAGCGUUGUCCGGAUUUACUGGGUUUAAAGGGUCCGUAGGCGGACUUAUAAGUCAGUGGUGAAAGCCUGUCGCUUAACGAUAGAACUGCCAUUGAUACUGUAAGUCUUGAGUAUAUUUGAGGUAGCUGGAAUAAGUAGUGUAGCGGUGAAAUGCAUAGAUAUUACUUAGAACACCAAUUGCGAAGGCAGGUUACCAAGAUAUAACUGACGCUGAGGGACGAAAGCGUGGGGAGCGAACA
RNAcentral lists this ribosomal RNA (402 nucleotides) under uncultured bacterium. Its description in RNAcentral is "bacterial SSU rRNA". It matches the Rfam family "Bacterial small subunit ribosomal RNA", at positions 355 to 774 of the family's 1533-position model. The record is from RNAcentral.